This 433-nucleotide ribosomal RNA is filed under the name uncultured bacterium. RNAcentral describes it as "partial 16S ribosomal RNA". It matches the Rfam family "Bacterial small subunit ribosomal RNA", at positions 29 to 507 of the family's 1533-position model. The record is from RNAcentral.
AACGAACGCUGGCGGCAUGCCUAACACAUGCAAGUCGAACGAGACCUUCGGGUCUAGUGGCGCACGGGUGCGUAACGCGUGGGAACCUGCCCUUAGGUUCGGAAUCACUCCCCGAAAGGGGUGCUAAUACCGGAUAAUGUCUUCGGACCAAAGAUUUAUCGCUUUUGGAUGGGCCCGCGUUGGAUUAGCUAGUUGGUAGGGUAAAAGCCUACCAAGGCGACGAUCCAUAGCUGGUCUGAGAGGAUGAUCAGCCACACUGGCACUGAGACACGGCCCAGACUCCUACGGGAGGCAGCAGUGGGGAAUAUUGGACAAGGGGCGAAAGCCUGAUACAGCAAUGCCGCGGGAGUGAUGAAGGCCUUAGGGUUGUAAAGCUCUUUUACCCGGGAUGAGAAUGACAGUACCGGGAGAAUAAGCUCCGGCUAACUCCGUG